This 518-nucleotide ribosomal RNA is filed under the name uncultured bacterium. Its description in RNAcentral is "partial 16S ribosomal RNA". It matches the Rfam family "Bacterial small subunit ribosomal RNA", at positions 29 to 523 of the family's 1533-position model. The record is from RNAcentral.
AACGAACGUUGGCGGCGUGCCUAACACAUGCAAGUCGAACGGAAUUUGAGAGCUUGCUCUUAAAUUUAGUGGCGCACGGGUGAGUAACGCGUAGAUAAUCUGCCUGACGAUCUGGGAUAACACUUCGAAAGAGGUGCUAAUACCGGAUAAGCCCACGGAGUCUUUGGAUUCUGCGGGAAAAGGGGGGGACCUUCGGGCCUUCUGUCGUCAGAUGAGUCUGCGUACCAUUAGCUAGUUGGUAGGGUAAUGGCCUACCAAGGCGACGAUGGUUAGCUGGUCUGAGAGGGUGAUCAGGCACACUGGAACUGAGACACGGUCCAGACUCCUACGGGAGGUAGCAGUGGGGAAUUUUGCGCAAUGGGCGAAAGCCUGACGCAGCAACGCCGCGUGAGUGAUGAAGGCUUUCGGGUCGUAAAGCUCUGUCGAGGGGAAAGAAGUGUACUUUGGCUAAUAUCCAUUGUACUUGACGGUACCCCUAAAGGAAGCACCGGCUAACUCCGUGCCAGCCGCCGCCGUAA